CCUACGGGAGGCAGCAGUGGGGAAUAUUGCACAAUGGGCGCAAGCCUGAUGCAGCGACGCCGCGUGAGGGAUGACGGCCUUCGGGUUGUAAACCUCUUUCAGUAGGGAAGAAGCGUAAGUGACGGUACCUGCAGAAGAAGCGCCGGCUAACUACGUGC
This 158-nucleotide ribosomal RNA is filed under the name uncultured bacterium. RNAcentral's name for it is "partial 16S ribosomal RNA". It matches the Rfam family "Bacterial small subunit ribosomal RNA", at positions 338 to 508 of the family's 1533-position model. The record is from RNAcentral.